This 425-nucleotide ribosomal RNA is filed under the name uncultured bacterium. Its description in RNAcentral is "partial 16S ribosomal RNA". It matches the Rfam family "Bacterial small subunit ribosomal RNA", at positions 354 to 796 of the family's 1533-position model. The record is from RNAcentral.
GUGGGGAAUCUUAGACAAUGGGGGAAACCCUGAUCUAGCCAUGCCGCGUGAGCGAUGAAGGCCUUAGGGUUGUAAAGCUCUUUCAGCUGGGAAGAUAAUGACGGUACCAGCAGAAGAAGCCCCGGCUAACUCCGUGCCAGCAGCCGCGGUAAUACGGAGGGGGCUAGCGUUGUUCGGAAUUACUGGGCGUAAAGCGCACGUAGGCGGAUCAGAAAGUCAGAGGUGAAAUCCCAGGGCUCAACCUUGGAACUGCCUUUGAAACUCCUGGUCUUGAGGUCGAGAGGGGUGAGUGUAAUUCGGAGUGUAGAGGUGAAAUUCGUAGAUAUUCGGAGGAACACCAGUGGCGAAGGCGGCUCACUGGCUCGAUACUGACGCUGAGGUGCGAAAGCGUGGGGAGCAAACAGGAUUAGAAACCCCAGUAGUCC